AAGCCAUGGUUUUGCUUCAAGAGCUGGCAGCUUCCCAGGCCAAACCAUCAGGCCUAAAUGCGAGUUACUUGUGAGUGAGUACCACAGCCCAAAUUCCACUGGAUAGAGUUUUCAGCCCCAGGCGCUCUUCCCCAGACGUGGAGUUCACGUGGGUUGCGAGAUUGACACACAGUGGCAAGCGACGACGGGUCUUAAUCUGCCGUAGAU
This 207-nucleotide long non-coding RNA is filed under the name Astyanax mexicanus (Mexican tetra). Its description in RNAcentral is "lncRNA (ENSAMXG00005007134.1)". Lineage: Eukaryota; Metazoa; Chordata; Actinopteri; Characiformes; Acestrorhamphidae. The record is from RNAcentral.